CUCGUGGAUUCCGGCGAUGAGGCGAGCUCUGGCGCUGUCGUCGAGCGGGUCAGUGACUCGUUUGGCUCGUACAAAACUUCCUCUAACCACCAUUGUUGUUACAGAGAGAGCAAGGUACGCGUGCUUUAUUUUCUGUUUCUGUUUCCCAGCGGCUCACUUUCCUUGCAUUUUUCGAGUAUCCGAUUCCUUCUGGGUUUUUAAUUUAUAAGCGGAUUUAAUUUUGAAGUGGAUUGGGGAAUUGAAUUUUCUCGCGGAAUAUUCGGUUUAUUAAUCGGGGUGGGUCGCGAUCGGGUUCGGGCGAGUAUUUAUGGAUUUAGAAUUAGGGAUAUGCUUUGGAUUAUUUCUUAGCCGCUUGACACGUGUCCGGGUGCUGGAGGGCAUAUCCGACGGUUCCAGGUGGGGGUUUAUUCGAGGAAAUAUGUGGGGCCUGACACGUGGAGGGCACGUGGUUUGUUGAGGCGAUUGCGUGUGAUUUAGUGGGGUGGGUGAACCGGUUUGGGUGAGAAUGGGGGCAGAGGACGUUAAAGUGUGCUAACGUAAUGGCUUUUGAAGAAGAGAAAGGGUGACACCCUCCCGAGGUGCAUGUAUGUGGUUUUGAGUUAUUGAUUAUGGAUUUGGAAUACCUGGCGGCUCGGGCUCGAUUUGUUACGCUUUUAAACUGACUUGAGAGCAGGUUUAUUUUCGAGCGUUCGAGUCACAAACCCCAGGCAAAUCACAAAGAGUUUUGGCUCGCGUGUAGCCUUAGUCGUGAGUGGCUUGGUAUUCAAGUAGCAAGAACAAUUAAACAACUUGUUCGGAUUUCAACUUGAUAUUAAACAAAUUUCUGAGCCACCCUUGUUUAUUAGUUGUGGCUCGGCUCAAUUUAGACAGCUCGCAAGUGAGCUCGACAUAAUUUUGUGAUUAUGACUCGACUUACAAUACUAAUAUCUGUAAGAAGUGUGUGCUGGUAACCUGAGAGGUUUUGAGUUUGAAUCCAGCGCACCCCACUCCACAUAUGAACACUGAUAAUAUAGUAUUUUUCCUGUUACCUAUCUCUUAUAAUGGCAUAUUGACUAUGUAUCUUCGACCAAUAAAAAAACUUGUGAGCCAGUUAAAUUUAGAUAGCUCGCAAGUCAGCUAGAAUACAAAAACUCCAAAUCGAAUUGGAAUUUAGGUUAACGCCCACCAAAUAAACAAGCCCAGCCCGAGUUGGGAAUUGGCUUGACUUGGCCCGACUUCGGUAGCCUUUGUUAGCAAUUGGAUAGUCAAGCCAAGUUUACUAGCUGGCUCGUAUAAGGCUCGUUUGAUUACAUUGCUCGAGAACUGGCUUAACUGACUAGAUUAUGAGUCUGGGUUCAUAUUCCUUAGUUGACGAAGGGUUCAUAUUCCAUAGUUGACGAACUAAGCUAGUCGUGAGCAGCUCGACAUUAAGAAUAAUUUUUUUUUGAAUGAGACUGGAAAUUAGGUUAAAGCUCCGAAAAGAAACAAGCCGAUCCUGAGUUGGGCCUCAGAUUGACUUGGCCCAUAAGCAGCCUUAGUGUUGUUUUUCUCUCUUUGUUGAUGUUAUGCCCCGACUUGUAAGCAAACUCGAUUGCUAAGCACAUCGAGCACACUAAGGGUCUCGACUUUGGCAGGCCUUGCAAGCAAUUUCGUUAAGUUAAGUUUGCUAGCUGGCUCGAUUGUUCGAGAAAUAGCUUAAUUGACUCGAUAAGAUUACAUUGCUCAUGAACAUUCAAAGUACGGUAAACCAAAGAAUCAUUGUAGGCCGUAGCAAAACGAUAAGUAGAAUUCUUUUGAAUUAUCCAUAGAAACGAGAUAGAACCACCAAUCAGGCAGAAAAAAAACACUCUCCAAUCACUCACAAAAGCUACCAAUCCCAAAAGACCAAACUCUCUCUAUAUCCUACAAAAUCUUAUGCCUUGCCGCUCCAAGCACAGGGAAGUCGCCCAAGUCCAGGGAACCGUCCUCUGGCACUUCUGCAGCAACCUCACUAACUUUGCCGUUCACCACCCUACCACCUGAUCGGUGGUCAUCGAAUAUCCGAAGUCCGUAUCCCUUCUUAGCCGGCUUCAGAAACUCAUUGAUGUUCAUCUUCUGCAAUUAAGUGUAAUCACAAUGAUCAACAAAGCCAUUCAGCAACAACGAUGAAAUUAAACAUCCUAACAAAUCAUUCAUACCUUCACAGCCUUCUUCUGAGACUUUUCAUCUUCCUUCUUGACCAUCUUCUCAGCCUGUAGUGCCUCGACGUCCUUCUUCUUCUCGAAGAGAACCAACUCCUUGUCGAGGGUAACUUCCCUCUUCUGAUCACUGCCGCUCUUGAGAGACUCGAGGGCAGCCUUCUUUUCAGCAAGAAUCUUUGUAUAUUCCGCGAAGGUGAGAUUCUGGAAACUCGAAAGCUCAACGAUUAGACAAUGUAUCAAACGGAAACUGAUCGAUAUCGACAAAUAAAUGACGUUCCUUUCGUUACCUCCACAGCAGCCUCUGCAGGCACUUCUUCCUUCUUCUGCUCCUUCUUGUAGUCAUCUCCAGUCUUCUUAGACUUGGUCUUCUUUGGCUUCUUCUUGUUCCAAGUCCCCUGCUUCACAAACUGCUGCUCAGCCUCAGCCCCAGUACUGUCACUGUUUCAACCCCAACAUAUCAGAAUCACAUCACAAUUUAAAGCAACUUCAAUAUUCAAAAUCAGAUAAGUCCAAAGACCUUACCCUUGAGCAACUUCGCUUUUACUGUCAGAAGUAGCAGCCUCAGACCUCACAGAAACAACAUCAGAAGCAGCAGUAGCAGCCUCAGACCUCACAGAAACAACAUCAGAAGCAGCAGUAGCAGCCUCAGACCUCACAGAAACAACAUCAGAAGCAGCAGUAGCAGCCUCAGACCUCACAGAAACAACAUCAGAAGCAGCAGUAGCAGCCUCAGACCUCACAGAAACAACAUCAGAAGCAGCAGUAGCAGCCUCAGACCUCACAGAAACAACAUCAGAAGCAGCAGUAGCAGCCUCAGACCUCACAGAAACAACAUCAGAAGCAGCAGUAGCAGCCUCAGACCUCACAGAAACAACAUCAGAAGCAGCAGUAGCAGCCUCAGACCUCACAGAAACAACAUCAGAAGCAGCAGUAGCAGCCUCAGACCUCACAGAAACAACAUCAGAAGCAGCAGUAGCAGCCUCAGACCUCACAGAAACAACAUCAGAAGCAGCAGUAGCAGCCUCAGACCUCACAGAAACAACAUCAGAAGCAGCAGCAGCAGCCUUGUUGCUGCUUUGAUCAAGCCCAUCAGCCUUCUUUGGCUCACCAUUCUUGUACGGCACCAACUGAAACCCUUCGGCGUCGAGCAUCGACGCAGCUUUCUCGACCUUCGGAGAAGCUUUCUUAACGACUGGUCCUCGGGAGUUGCUCCUCCUUCCACCACCAUUGUUGUACAUCCCAUUACGAUUGCCGUUUCCGUUGUACGGCCUGUAAUUCUGAUUGUUGUUAAACUGACGCCCACCGUUCUGGUCCCCGUUUCCGUUGAAACGUUUAUCGCCAUUAUCGUUGAGCACGACGGCCGGAUUCGAUUUUUCCGACCGUUUACUGUCCCCGGUGGACGACCUUUCGCUGGCAGCCCUGCUUCCGUUGUUAUUGUUAUUGUACACAGCCUGACUUUCCCCUUGCUGAUUUCGGGUUUUUUCUGCAAAUCUUUGUCUCGCUAGAUUCCUAAAAUUAUAGUCUGAAUCCAUAAAUUCAAAAAUGGAAAAAGCAAUCAGGAACUCAAUCAAUCGACGAUAAAUCGCUACCAGAUCGGAAAAUGGAGAUCUCCGGAGACAAGAUUAAGAACGAACGUACUGAAAAAAUUGAAAUGAGAAGGGGGUAUAUAUCUAUCUUACCGCGGCGUCUUUCCCAAUCGAGUCGGUCCAGGCGUUCUUGCUUCGCUUUUUCUUCAGCGGCCUUCUUCUUCGCCGCGAGCUCCUCCCUCCGCCGUCUUCUCCUUGACGGCGACGGCGGCCUCCCUGGCGGCGGCAGUGGAGGCGAAGACGUUCUCGGCGAUCUUGGACAUGCCUUCGUCCUCUUGGCCGUCGAGCAAGGAGAAGAGACUAGCGUGCCUCGCCAUGGCUGCCUGCUGGUGGUGCGUGGGACGGCUGGUUGUAGUUAAUAAAAAGAGACGAGUACUUUCACCGGCGGCGGAGGGAGAAAAUAGCAGAAAGAAAGAAUCCCUGUGAGAGGGAGACUUUUGGGAUGAGAGGUUUAGGGUUAGUGGUGGGAUUCAAUUUAUAGGUUUUCGUUAGGGGGGGUGGUUACUUGGGAAGCAAGUCACUGGAUUUCGAGGAAGGUUUUUUUCUUUUAAUUAUUAUUUAGUUCCUAACUAAAUGCAUAUUAGAAAUUAAUUUUUAUUUCACAUUCUACUGAUCAAACAGUUCAUUAAACAGGCCUGGGCUGGUUGUGCUCUUGUGGACAUCCAAUCGGGCUUGACUUGUAAACGGGCUUCCGAUGGGCCUUCGAAUAAAACGGAUAGAAAGUUGAAUCACUAUUGUGGAAGCCCAAUUUAGUUUACCUUGAAAGUGAGGCUCAAUUCGACCACUCUAUCCUUAAAUUAAUUGCGCCGUCUAGUAAGUUCUAUUUUUAGAUGGAGGUAUUAGUGCUAGAACAAGAUUUCACGUCCGUCGAAAUGAUCGAUUCAUAAUGGUUCAAUGUGUUAGGUCAAAUCAUAUAAAAUUUUAAGGAUUAAGGUUUAAUUUAGAUUUACUAAUUUUGAAAAAUGUAAAUUUUUUUCCGAAGAUGAUUCAAUAUAUUAGACAGAUCAUAUAGAAGUUUAAGGAUUAACGUUUAAUUCAAAUUUACUAAUUUUGGAAAAUUAAUUUUCUUUUAUCAUAAAUAGUUUCAAAAAAGGAGAAUUAAGAUAGCAAAGUAAAACAAACAAGGCUGAACAUCAGUUCAUGUCGUGAGAUCGAUCUUCACACAAUCUGAGAGAUAUGAAAGGGCACGGCGGGCUAUUUUAUCGACAGCUCUGUUAGCGACACAUUUGACCACCUGCACAUGCAACCGCGAACACGAUGCUAAAAAGCAAGGAUCUUUGCAACAACGGCCCCACCAGCAACACACCGAGUAUUCCUUGAACAAUUUGAAAAGGACCAAAGUCAAUUUUCCAAACGCUAUGCCCAAAGUACCAAUCACAUACAUCACAAACGACCAGGAAUUCUAGAAUAUACGGAGAGCCCUAGAUACGUCCCCAAUCCCUUCCAAAACAACUCCAUCAACGUUACAAACAUUAUUUUAAAGCAAUUGAUAAAAAAAAUAAAAAAAAAUUAUUUGAUCGAUUUGAAAAAAUUCAAUAGUCCAAUAACAUCCAUAUAUAAGAAGUAUUUAAAUGAAUUCGAAUAAUACUGAAAACCUGAAAUGAAAGAAACUUUGAUGCUCAGCAUGUAACUAGGUUUUAGGGUUCAGGAUUUAGUACGGAGAACCUGAGAAUCUUAUAUAUAUUUGAAAAUUGAAGCAGGUCCUAACUUCAUUCACGUCAAGGUUAAUUGUAGUUAGUUUCGUCCACUACCUGCAUUGAUUCUGGAUUUUGUGUUGCAGCACAGUUCUACGAAACCUGGUCGGGAAAAUUCAGCGGAAGAUCUUAGCUGCAUUGUCGUCAGCAUUACUCCUCCUUUUGGUUGUGCAGUGCAAGUUUCAUGAAGUUUCAUGGAGAGCUGAACAUCUAUAUGCUCUGCAAUUCUGUUAAUUUGCUCUUCUUGUGAGCGUGAUUUCUUAAUGAGUUGGAGCUUUUAUUCGGUUUCAUUUUUUUUAGAGGGAAACCUCUCUUUCUAUUUUUUCGGAAUGAAUAUAUAAAAAUCGUCAAAUCGUUAUCUACUUAUCUUAUCUUUGUCUAGAGUGAGGCGGAUUAGUUAGGUAGACCGUUCGAAUCUAAAGUGGAUAUGGUAUGUGAACAAUGUUUGUCUUAAAUAAAGGAGAUUCAUUUCUUU
This 5914-nucleotide long non-coding RNA is filed under the name Linum usitatissimum (flax). RNAcentral's name for it is "long non-coding RNA (LUSI_LNC005595)". Lineage: Eukaryota; Viridiplantae; Streptophyta; Magnoliopsida; Malpighiales; Linaceae. The record is from RNAcentral.